UACGUAGGGGGCUAGCGUUGUCCGAAAUUAUUGGGCGUAAAGAACUCGUAGGCGGUUCGUCGCGUCGGCUGUGAAAUCCCGAGGCUCAACCUCGGGUCUGCAGUCGAUACGGGCGGACUGGAGUUCGGCAGGGGAGACUGGAAUUCCUGGUGUAGCGGUGAAAUGCGUAGAUAUCCGGAGGAACACCGGUGGCGAAGGCGGCUUCCUGGACCGAUACUGACGCUGAGGCGCGAAAGCUAGGGGAGCAAACGGG
RNAcentral lists this ribosomal RNA (253 nucleotides) under uncultured bacterium. RNAcentral describes it as "partial 16S ribosomal RNA". It matches the Rfam family "Bacterial small subunit ribosomal RNA", at positions 524 to 776 of the family's 1533-position model. The record is from RNAcentral.